UGAAAAGGGCAGGACCGCAGGUGU
RNAcentral lists this unclassified non-coding RNA (24 nucleotides) under Mus musculus (house mouse). Its description in RNAcentral is "oocyte_clustered_small_RNA6995". The record is from RNAcentral. Lineage: Eukaryota; Metazoa; Chordata; Mammalia; Rodentia; Muridae.